This 109-nucleotide small nuclear RNA is filed under the name Mustela putorius furo (domestic ferret). The record is from RNAcentral. Lineage: Eukaryota; Metazoa; Chordata; Mammalia; Carnivora; Mustelidae.
GUGCUCGCUUCGGCAGCACAUAUACUAAAAUUGGAACGAUACAGAGAAGAUUAGCAUGGCCCCUGCGCAAGGAUAACACGCAAAAAAAAAGAGGGGGGUAGAAAAGUGU